This 504-nucleotide ribosomal RNA is filed under the name uncultured bacterium. RNAcentral describes it as "partial 16S ribosomal RNA". It matches the Rfam family "Bacterial small subunit ribosomal RNA", at positions 28 to 523 of the family's 1533-position model. The record is from RNAcentral.
GAUAAACGCUAGCGGCAGGCUUAACACAUGCAAGUCGAGGGGCAGCAUAAAUUGUAGCAAUACAAUUGGUGGCGACCGGCGCACGGGUGCGUAACGCGUAUGCAACCUACCCGUCACAGGGGGAUAAUCCGGAGAAAUCUGGUCUAAUACCCCAUAACAGAUGGAUCGGCAUCGGGUCAUGUUGAAAUUUUUGGAGGUGACGGAUGGGCAUGCGUAGCAUUAGCUUGUUGGUGAGGUAACGGCUCACCAAGGCGACGAUGCUUAGGGGGACUGAGAGGUUUUCCCCCCACACUGGUACUGAGACACGGACCAGACUCCUACGGGAGGCAGCAGUGAGGAAUAUUGGUCAAUGGGCGCAAGCCUGAACCAGCCAUGCCGCGUGCAGGAUGACGGCUCUAUGAGUUGUAAACUGCUUUUGUACGAGGGUAAAGUGGGUUACGUGUAACCUUUUGAAAGUAUCGUACGAAUAAGGAUCGGCUAACUCCGUGCCAGCCGCCGCAGUAA